AGUGAACGCUGGCGGUAGGCCUAACACAUGCAAGUCGAACGGCAGCACAGUAAGAGCUUGCUCUUACGGGUGGCGAGUGGCGGACGGGUGAGGAAUACAUCGGAAUCUACUUUUUCGUGGGGGAUAACGUAGGGAAACUUACGCUAAUACCGCAUACGACCUACGGGUGAAAGCAGGGGAUCUUCGGACCUUGCGCGAUUGAAUGAGCCGAUGUCGGAUUAGCUAGUUGGCGGGGUAAAGGCCCACCAAGGCGACGAUCCGUAGCUGGUCUGAGAGGAUGAUCAGCCACACUGGAACUGAGACACGGUCCAGACUCCUACGGGAGGCAGCAGUGGGGAAUAAUGGACAAUGGGCGCAGGCCUGAUCCAGCCAUACCGCGUGGGUGAAGAAGGCCUUCGGGUUGUAAAGCCCUUUUGUUGGGAAAGAAAAGCAGCAGGUUAAUACCCCGCUGUUCUGACGGUACCCAAAGAAUAAGCACCGGCUAACUUCGUG
This 492-nucleotide ribosomal RNA is filed under the name uncultured bacterium. RNAcentral's name for it is "partial 16S ribosomal RNA". It matches the Rfam family "Bacterial small subunit ribosomal RNA", at positions 29 to 507 of the family's 1533-position model. The record is from RNAcentral.